RNAcentral lists this ribosomal RNA (273 nucleotides) under uncultured bacterium. RNAcentral describes it as "partial 16S ribosomal RNA". The record is from RNAcentral.
CUGCUGCCUCCCGUAGGAGUUUGGGCCGUGUCUCAGUCCCAAUGUGGCCGUUCACCCUCUCAGGCCGGCUACUGAUCGUCGCCUUGGUGGGCCGUUACCCCUCCAACCAGCUAAUCAGACGCGGGUCCAUCCUGUACCACCGGAGUUUUUCACACUGUACCGUGCGGUACUGUGCGCUUAUGCGGUUUUAGCACCUAUUUCUAAGUGUUAUCCCCCUGUACAGGGCAGGUUACCCACGCGUUACUCCACCCGUCCGCCACUAAGAUAAACAGG